AUUUUGAUAACAAAAAUGAAAUCAAAACAAAAAAAGUCUAGGUAUAGAAUAUUUUUUCUUUUAAAAAUAUAAUUUAUGCAGAUUUGUAUUUUGAGAAGCAUUAAUUAUUGCUUUUAACCAGAAGAUAACUGCAUUUUUUUAGUAAGCCACAUAAUGAAAUUGUCAAGAGUAAUUCUUGUAAUGAAAAAGUGCUUUCUCAAAUUCAUCGUUUGGAUUCGGACCAAAAUUGUAGGUGCCUUCCAUUCCUGACAACAGUACUCGCACACAGGAAUGGUUGAGAGUUGUAAGUCACUAGACCCUGGUUCGCAACGGACUGUUUAAUUUAACAUGAACGAAAUCCGGAUCGAAAAAGUUGGAAUUCGCAAGUCCCAUUUGGAUUGAGGAACGAGCAUAAUCGCGCGUAAGUUCAUGUUCAUCAAGUCAUCAUCCAAUUCAACUCAAUUUCGUCUUCGUCGUCAUUACUAAGCAAUAAAGUUGACGAAGCUUGAAGCGCCAAAGAGAAAAGCAAGUUGUCCAGCAAACCUGCUUUAUCUAUCAGUGGAAAGAGUAUGCACAGAGGCCGGGCGCGGUAUCUCGGAAUCAAUCCACUAAAACUGUUAGAUGUAAAUCACGAAGUUCAAGGAAAUUAAAUCACGUCAAGUUAAAGGGACGUAAAUCACGAAGAUAAAGGAACUAGGGUGUCUGUGCUGUGGAAUAUACUGUGAUAUUAACAUGAGCCACGAAGAACUGAGUGGAUUCCGAAAAGCGUAUCGAUUAACCGAUCAAAGAAACCAGUAAAAUGUCUAUUGAAAAUGAACGGAUCUCUGUCAAAUACAAACUAACCCGAACGGCAACUAGUGAUAGAGGAAGAGGAACACUAGGAGCAAGUAACUGGAGAAACUAGAUAGCAAUCACGGAGACGAAGACGAUAAAGAAGAAGACGACGAGGAUUCAGGUGAAAUUGUUGAAUAAUCUAAGAAAAAUGUGGCGAGAUAUUGAAGUAAGCAAAGAGGAACGGGAUAAAAAUCGAUCUCGAAGGUGCUAAGAAGAAGGAAGAUGCUAACAAGUCCGAUUUUUGAAAAAGAUAUAUAUAUAUAUGAAGAACAGCUACACAACAAGAAGUUAGUUAAUUUAAGAUCCAAAACGGAUUCGAAUUGAUUGAAUUAAUCAUUUAAAGGUUGUUCCACAAUAUCCAAUAUCCAAGACGUCAGAAUUAUAAAGAACCAACCAGCCUUAUUCCACCUCCUUUACCGUAGGACCACGACUACCAAUCUACGAAGAUUUAGAUCCUUAUGGCCGUAGAGCUAGAUACAGAGAACUGCCAGAACAUAGGAUGCCUCAAUAUGAGGACGAGAGAGUAGUGCGUCCAACUCGUGAAGUGAAUGAUCCUUUCAUGCAUUCCAAAUUCCCUGGUGGUCGAACUGGCAGUGGUCUUAAAUUACCAAGUCCAGGCGUCCUCCAACCUACAGCCCAAACGAAAGAGAAGACCAUCCCAUCCAAAAAAUCUUUAACCAAUAACACGAAGAGAAAGCAUUGUGUUGCAAGUUGUUCCGGUUGAGGAUCUUCAAAAUCUAGUGGUUCUUGUUCGGAUACAUCAUGAUCCUCAUCAGUCAAGAGGAUAAAAUAGCUAAUAAACGUUAAGCAGUAAAAAGAUAUAUACGAGUAUAUGUAUAUAAAGCAUACAUAUCGAUUUGAAAUCAAUCCAUUUAAAAUGUCUCCUUUUCUACAUUUAUAAUAAGGGGCAACAUCUAGUGAUUAAGAGGAGAACACGCUUCGUUAAGCAUCGAGAAUAAUUGGCGCCUACAAGAACCAAGUAGUUUCUCGAACCGAUUUGAAGUGUAUAAAUAGGCGCCGGAAGCGAAGCAGUUCAAUAUUGAUUGUGAACUGUGUAGAGUAAAGAAUGUUUGAAAAGUAAUAAUUGAAAGUAAAGACUGCGUUUGCAAAGUAAUUGUUGAAAGUUUUGAAUAAAUAAG
Long non-coding RNA from Eupeodes corollae, 1952 nucleotides. RefSeq lists it as uncharacterized. The transcript has 4 exons. Lineage: Eukaryota; Metazoa; Arthropoda; Insecta; Diptera; Syrphidae. The record is from RefSeq and is a predicted model, not a curated record.